CCUACGGGGGGCAGCAGUGGGGAAUAUUGGACAAUGGGGGCAACCCUGAUCCAGCCAUGCCGCGUGUGUGAAGAAGGCCCUCGGGUUGUAAAGCACUUUCAGUGAGGAAGAACGCCUGGUGGUUAAUACCCAUCAGGAAAGACAUCACUCACAGAAGAAGCACCGGCUAACUCCGUGCCAGCAGCCGCGGUAAUACGGAGGGUGCGAGCGUUAAUCGGAAUUACUGGGCGUAAAGCGCGCGUAGGUGGCUUGAUAAGCCGGUUGUGAAAGCCCCGGGCUCAACCUGGGAACGGCAUCCGGAACUGUCAAGCUAGAGUGCAGGAGAGGAAGGUAGAAUUCCCGGUGUAGCGGUGAAAUGCGUAGAGAUCGGGAGGAAUACCAGUGGCGAAGGCGGCCUUCUGGACUGACACUGACACUGAGGUGCGAAAGCGUGGGUAGCAAACAGGAUUAGAUAUCCUGGUAGUC
Molecule: ribosomal RNA, 465 nt
Filed under: Vreelandella stevensii
Lineage: Bacteria; Pseudomonadati; Pseudomonadota; Gammaproteobacteria; Oceanospirillales; Halomonadaceae
Description: partial 16S ribosomal RNA
Rfam family: Bacterial small subunit ribosomal RNA
Source: RNAcentral